GACGAACGCUGGCGGCGUGCUUAACACAUGCAAGUCGAACGGAAAGGCCCUGCUUUUGUGGGGUGCUCGAGUGGCGAACGGGUGCGUAACACGUGAGUAACCUGCCCUUGACUUUGGGAUAACUUCAGGAAACUGGGGCUAAUACCGGAUAGGAGCUCCUGCUGCAUGGUGGGGGUUGGAAAGUUUCGGCGGUUGGGGAUGGACUCGCGGCUUAUCAGCUUGUUGGUGGGGUAGUGGCUUACCAAGGCUGUGACGGGUAGCCGGCCUGAGAGGGUGACCGGCCACAUUGGGACUGAGAGACGGCCCAGACUCCUACGGGAGGCAGCAGUGGGGAAUAUGGCACAAUGGGCGGAAGCCUGAUGCAGCAACGCCGCGUGCGGGAUGACGGCCUUCGGGUUGUAAACCGCUUUCGCCUGUGACGAAGCGGGAGUGACGGUAAUGGGUAAAGAAGCACCGGCUAACUACGUG
This 468-nucleotide ribosomal RNA is filed under the name uncultured bacterium. Its description in RNAcentral is "partial 16S ribosomal RNA". It matches the Rfam family "Bacterial small subunit ribosomal RNA", at positions 28 to 507 of the family's 1533-position model. The record is from RNAcentral.